Molecule: ribosomal RNA, 508 nt
Filed under: uncultured bacterium
Lineage: Bacteria
Description: partial 16S ribosomal RNA
Rfam family: Bacterial small subunit ribosomal RNA
Source: RNAcentral
GACGAACGCUGGCGGCGUGCUUAACACAUGCAAGUCGAACGGGCCUUGUCCCCUUUUUUUUUGGGGGUGGGGUUAGUGGCUAACGGGUGAGUAACACGUGAGUAACCUGCCCCUCACUUCUGGAUAACCGCUUGAAAGGGUGGCUAAUACGGGGUGUUCUGGCCUGCUCGCAUGGGUGGGUUUGGAAAGAUUCGACCGGUUUUGGUUGUUUUGGUGGGUGAUGGUCUUGCGGCCUGUCAGCUUGUUGGUGGGGUGAUGGCCUGCAAAGGCUUUGACGGGUAGGCGGCCUGAGAGGGUGGGCGGUCACAGUGGGACUGAGACACGGCCAAGACUCCUACGGGGGGCAGCAGUGGGGAAUAUUGCACAAGGGGCGCAAGCCUGAUGCAGCGACGCCGCGUGAGGGAUGGAGGCCUUCGGGUUGUGAACCUCUUUCGCCAGUGAAGAAGGACCUGCUCUUUGUGGUGGGGUUGACGGUAGCUGGGUUAAUGAAGCGCCGGCUAACUACGUG